Molecule: ribosomal RNA, 481 nt
Filed under: uncultured bacterium
Lineage: Bacteria
Description: partial 16S ribosomal RNA
Rfam family: Bacterial small subunit ribosomal RNA
Source: RNAcentral
GACGAACGCUGGCGGCGUGCUUAACACAUGCAAGUCGAACGGUGAAAGGGAGCUUGCUCCCUGGAUCAGUGGCGAACGGGUGAGUAACACGUGGGCAACCUGCCCCAGACUUCGGGAUAACGCUUCGAAAGAGGUGCUAAUACCGGAUACGAACUCCUUGGGCAUCCUUGGAGUUGGAAAGUUUUUCGGUCUGGGAUGGGCCCGCGGCCUAUCAGCUUGUUGGUGAGGUAACGGCUCACCAAGGCGACGACGGGUAGCCGGCCUGAGAGGGCGACCGGCCACACUGGGACUGAGACACGGCCCAGACUCCUACGGGAGGCAGCAGUGGGGAAUAUUGCGCAAUGGGCGAGAGCCUGACGCAGCAACGCCGCGUGAGGGAUGACGGCCUUCGGGUUGUAAACCUCUUUCAGCAGGGAAGAAGCGAAAGUGACGGUACCUGCAGAAGAAGCACCGGCUAACUACGUGCCAGCAGCCGCAGUAA